AACUGUAAGUAUAUUCUAAAACUGAGCUUUUCUUUUCCAGUGUUUUUCUGGAGGAAGAGCAAUAAAGUUCGUGGCCACAGAGGUGCUGGUGGGAUGGAUGCGGUUCUGGAUCUGAGCUCUAAUCACAAUUGCAGCAGCUGUACCCAGAGGACCAGUGCUGGAUCCCCACUCUGGGGAAGGCAAUGGCUGUGCACCCUGGAGCUCAUGUUCACUGGGGAUCUGCAGGUAGAGCCGGAGUUGGGGUGCAGCCAAGUUCUGCUGCCGCAGAGGAAGGGGAACCUGGCCGUGUUCAUCGCACCACAGAGGGACAGCCUCCGAGUUCUCAGGAAGCUUUUUAAUGUUUAUUUGCGAUGA
RNAcentral lists this long non-coding RNA (354 nucleotides) under Pongo abelii (Sumatran orangutan). Its description in RNAcentral is "lncRNA (ENSPPYG00000033152.1)". Lineage: Eukaryota; Metazoa; Chordata; Mammalia; Primates; Hominidae. The record is from RNAcentral.